CCUACGGGGGGCUGCAGUGGGGAAUUUUGGACAAUGGGCGCAAGCCUGAUCCAGCCAUUCCGCGUGAGUGAAGAAGGCCUUCGGGUUGUAAAGCUCUUUCGCAAGGGAAGAAAACUUAUCCUCUAACAUAGGAUGAGGUUGACGGUACCUUGAUAAGAAGCACCGGCUAACUACGUGCCAGCAGCCGCGGUAAUACGUAUGGUGCGAGCGUUAAUCGGAGUUACUGGAGGUAAAGCUUGCACUCAGAGGUGAAAUCCCCGAGCUCAACUUGGGAACUGCGGUUGAAACUACAAGACUAGAAUAGGUCAGAGGGGGGUAGAAUGCCACGUGUAGCAGUGAAAUGCGUAGAGAUGUGGAGGAAUAUCAAUGGCGAAGGCAGCCGCCUGGGAUCAUAUUGACGCUCAUGCACGAAAGCGUGGGGAGCAAACAGGAUUAGAUACCCUGGUAGUC
This 450-nucleotide ribosomal RNA is filed under the name uncultured bacterium. Its description in RNAcentral is "partial 16S ribosomal RNA". It matches the Rfam family "Bacterial small subunit ribosomal RNA", at positions 338 to 795 of the family's 1533-position model. The record is from RNAcentral.